RNAcentral lists this ribosomal RNA (253 nucleotides) under uncultured bacterium. RNAcentral's name for it is "partial 16S ribosomal RNA". It matches the Rfam family "Bacterial small subunit ribosomal RNA", at positions 524 to 776 of the family's 1533-position model. The record is from RNAcentral.
UACAGAGGGUGCAAGCGUUAUUCGGAAUUAUUGGGCGUAAAGGGCGUGUAGGCGGUCUGCUAAGUCAUGUGUGAAAUCCCUCGGCUUAACCGAGGAACGACGCAUGAAACUGGCAAGCUAGAGUACCAAAGAGGGGGGUGGAAUUCCCGGUGUAGCGGUGAAAUGCGUAGAUAUCGGGAGGAACAUCGGUGGCGAAGGCGGCCCCCUGGUUGGAUACUGACGCUGAGACGCGAAAGCGUGGGGAGCAAACAGG